Long non-coding RNA from Ziziphus jujuba (common jujube), 2014 nucleotides. RefSeq lists it as uncharacterized. The record is from RefSeq and is a predicted model, not a curated record. The transcript has 4 exons. Lineage: Eukaryota; Viridiplantae; Streptophyta; Magnoliopsida; Rosales; Rhamnaceae.
ACUGCAUUUACCAGAAUGUGGUUUUUAUUUUUUAUUUUUUUUUAUUUUUUUAUUUUUAAAUUUUCAAUGUUAAAUGUUGUUUCUUCUUCUCUCUUGAUUAUAUUUGUAUCUAAAUUUUGCUGAAUCCAAUCUUAUUGGAUUAUAUGAGUUUAAUUUGAUUACUUUUUGUUAAAUAAUUCUCUUCUACACCAAAAUUUAAUCAAUUUCUGCACCCAUUUUAGCAGAACCAUGCAAUCAAGCUUUAAAGCAGCUUAUGGGUUUUUCAAUACCUCAACCAUUCAAAAGAAAGACACAUUGGUAUUUGGAGAACCAUCACUUCUACCAUAAAUUCAUAAAACAAACUACUCAUCCUAAUAAAUCAUACCGUCUCUUGAUCCUUUUAUGAUACAGUCGAAUCUGUGAGUACCUCCUUUCUAUUUUUAAAACAACUAAAAAGACAAAAAUGAAAACAAUUUUUUUAAAUUUACAUCUAUUGUAUUCGACUUGAGCAUGUGCAUAAUUUCAUAUUUUGCAUUAAGUCAUAUUACUAUAUACUUUUGUCAGUUUUAGUCGAGACCAGAUUUAGAAGCUCCUAACUUUGGGUAUCAGAACUAUCUCUGUGUAUUCUAGCUAUACAUCAGUAUGAUGAAUACUCUAUGUUUUACGUUCUUCCGUGAACAUCAAAAUUACAAAAUUUUAAAAUUUUUGUUUUAAGCUAAAUUGAGACACGGGCAUGUUUUUAAAAUGAUUUUGUGAUUGAAUGGAGAUGAUUUAAACAUCUGGUUUGGACUCCAACUCCCUGAAAAUGUUCAAAACACUGAAAACGAUGGCCGCAGGGUUUGGAAUCUGGAAGUUGUGGUGGGAGGGUCAGAAAUGAAGUUGUUAAGUUGUUAUAAAGCUAUUGGUACUCCAAAUAAUAUGUACGAAGCACAUACUUUUGCCUAGUAUUUUAACUAAUAUGGAAUGCAUAUUAAACCGCACCAUAUAUAUUUUAAAGUUGAAAAAAUUUUACAUCAUUUUUUCAACGACGUCCUUUAUUGGUGUAGCUAGCUAGCUAAUUCAUAUAUAUAUAUAUAUAUAUAUAUACAUGCAAAUGUGAUUGAUCGAUGCAGGCAAUUUUGUAUUAAUCACAGUGCUAAUUCCUACAUAUGCACACUGUGAGUAAUGCAGGUACGUAUACCAUAUACUGUCGGCAAGUUCAUGCUAAUUCCUAGCUAAUUAAUUCCUUUGUAACUUUAAAUUCAUUCCCAGCAGCUUGAAUUUGAGCUCCAUGAGAUGAUAAAAAUGAAAGGCAAUAAAGAGAACUAGUACAUACUUGGAAGAAAGAAGCAGAUUGUUGGAAAUUGGAAGUCUGUUUAAAGAACAAGAAUGUCUUCAAUUCUUCGGAGCCACCAUACAAAUUGGCGCUUGUCAGCGAAAUUUCGAAGCAAGCACUUGGAACGUUAAUAAUCAUGUCUGCAGGUUUACCAGAGGUGGCAGGGCUGACCAGAAUUUAUUUAUUUAUUUUUAUAAUCCACAUGUAAAAUUAUUUUAAAAAAAAAAAAAUGGCUGAAGAACUCAGAAGCGCUAGCAUUCAUCCAUAUUGAUCAGAUGUCGUAAGGGACACAACCAUAUCAAAGGGACACAACACUCCUCACGGCUCCAACCACAAUGCACCAGCCAGGAAUCUAACCAGGGCCUUUCUUUUACAAAAAGAGGGAAAUUAAUGGAGCUUGUUGAUCCAAAAUUGGGAAAUGUUUUCGACAAGGAAGAGGCAGUUAGAAUGCUUGAAGUAGCUCUUUUGUGCUUAAGUCCAUCACUGACACUUAGGCUUAUCAUGUCUGCAGAAUGGUGAACAUGCUUGAAGGUAGAAGCUGUAUUAAAUUGGAUAGAGAUUAUUGCAAAUUGUGAUCAACAGAAAGGUGGCGAUGAGGAAGCUUCGAUAUGAUCCGGAACGUCUAAAGUGCUGACGAAUUCCCACGUUGAAGAUGAAGAACCCAUGCCAACUGCACUGUUGGACAGCUCUCCGUUGUAAUAGUAUCUUGCUAAACCAACU